Molecule: ribosomal RNA, 671 nt
Filed under: Vibrio sp.
Lineage: Bacteria; Pseudomonadati; Pseudomonadota; Gammaproteobacteria; Vibrionales; Vibrionaceae
Description: bacterial SSU rRNA
Rfam family: Bacterial small subunit ribosomal RNA
Source: RNAcentral
GGAGGCAGCAGUGGGGAAUAUUGCACAAUGGGCGCAAGCCUGAUGCAGCCAUGCCGCGUGUAUGAAGAAGGCCUUCGGGUUGUAAAGUACUUUCAGCAGUGAGGAAGGUGGGAGUGUUAAUAGCACAAUUAUUUGACGUUAGCUGCAGAAGAAGCACCGGCUAACUCCGUGCCAGCAGCCGCGGUAAUACGGAGGGUGCGAGCGUUAAUCGGAAUUACUGGGCGUAAAGCGCAUGCAGGUGGAUGAUUAAGUCAGAUGUGAAAGCCCGGGGCUCAACCUCGGAAUAGCAUUUGAAACUGGUCAUCUAGAGUACUGUAGAGGGGGGUAGAAUUUCAGGUGUAGCGGUGAAAUGCGUAGAGAUCUGAAGGAAUACCGGUGGCGAAGGCGGCCCCCUGGACAGAUACUGACACUCAGAUGCGAAAGCGUGGGGAGCAAACAGGAUUAGAUACCCUGGUAGUCCACGCCGUAAACGAUGUCUACUUGGAGGUUGUGGCCUUGAGCCGUGGCUUUCGGAGCUAACGCGUUAAGUAGACCGCCUGGGGAGUACGGUCGCAAGAUUAAAACUCAAAUGAAUUGACGGGGGCCCGCACAAGCGGUGGAGCAUGUGGUUUAAUUCGAUGCAACGCGAAGAACCUUACCUACUCUUGACAUCCAGAGAACUUCCAGAGAUG